RNAcentral lists this ribosomal RNA (486 nucleotides) under Triticum aestivum (bread wheat). RNAcentral describes it as "partial small subunit ribosomal RNA". Lineage: Eukaryota; Viridiplantae; Streptophyta; Magnoliopsida; Poales; Poaceae. The record is from RNAcentral.
AUGGCGCAAGAGAGUUGGAAAGAGGCGGAGGAUACGGGUGUCCACGCACCUGAGGCUCCGAUAAUGUGCAUCAACAACUGUGGCUUCUUCGGCAACCGGAUGACCGAAAACAUGUGUUCAAAGUGUUACCGAGACACUGUCAAGGCCAAGAAGAUGGCCCUUCUAGUCGAGAACAAAACUGCUGCUGCUGUUGCAUCGUCACCCACACCAAUGGUGGCAGAGAUCAAGGAUGAAGCGUCUGCCUCAGCCAAAGAAGGAAAACAAGUAGCCGAGGAGGAGGCGCCGAAGCCACCCAGCAACCGCUGCCUGUCGUGCCGGAAGAAGGUCGGGCUGACGGGGUUCAAGUGCCGCUGCGGAGACACCUUCUGCUCGAUGCACCGCUAUGCCGACGCGCACGAUUGCAAGUUCGACUACAAGCAGGCCGGCAGGGAGCAGAUCGCCCAGCAGAACCCCGUCGUCAAGGCUGACAAGGUCACCAGAUUCUGA